This 823-nucleotide long non-coding RNA is filed under the name Capra hircus (goat). RNAcentral's name for it is "lncRNA (ENSCHIG00010011749.1)". Lineage: Eukaryota; Metazoa; Chordata; Mammalia; Artiodactyla; Bovidae. The record is from RNAcentral.
GCUGGGGCAGGGUAGGGAGCUAGCUGGUGGUUCUGUGAUGGUGAGGCAGGGUACCUCUCAGGAGUAGAAGGCUCUGCCGGUGGUGAGCAGCCUCCGCAGGUGUCCCUGGCACCUGGCCUGCCCCCACCAGCCUGGCUUGUGGGGGAGGGUUUGAGGGCAUGAAAUGCCCUGGCAACACAAGUCCCUGACCACUCCUCUGGUCUUGUGUCUUAGCCCAGCUGGCCUGGACUUGGGUUGGGGUGUGUGACUGCAGCCAGCACAGCCAGAUGGGGAGGGGCAUCUACAGCUUCAGGAAACUGGCACAUCUGGCUGGAGAGGCAGACACAGCUGGUGGGCCCUGUGUGGGAGGUACCAGGCCACGGGGGGUGGUGGGGGGGUAGCCAUACCCCACUGAGGGGCUGCCACAUAAGGACUCAGGCAGCAUCUGUGUGCCUGGUCAAGGAAGUCCAGUCAGGGCUCCUGGUUGUAAGAUCCUUGGGCCCCUCAAGGGCCAGGGAUGGUGCAGCCUUGCCUGGGGGUAUUGCCUCAGAAAUGGAGUCUCUGGGGCAACACUACCCCCCAGGCUAACCUUUCCUCCCCUGCUGAGGCCAGAGGAGUCUUCACUGGAUCCUGGGACCAGAUGUGCACACAGGAAAUGUUAGGCACUGCCCUUGACCCAUGGCAGAUAGGCACUGGAGGGCAUUCUGUGAAGGAGCAGUGGACCUGGGAUGGGUACCCCACAACAGGUCUGACAUUGACAAGUCCUUAUCCAAGCUACUUCCCCACCACUCUCUGGCCCCUGGAGGCCCUGAGGAACUUCUGUUACAACCAAAUUGCAUCCUGA